UACGUAGGGUGCGAGCGUUAAUCGGAAUUACUGGGCGUAAAGCGUGCGCAGGCGGUUUUGUAAGUCUGUCGUGAAAUCCCCCGGGCUUAACCUGGGAAUUGCGAUGGAGACUGCAAGGCUAGAAUCUGGCAGAGGGGGGUAGAAUUCCACGUGUAGCAGUGAAAUGCGUAGAGAUGUGGAGGAACACCGAUGGCGAAGGCAGCCCCCUGGGUCAAGAUUGACGCUCAUGCACGAAAGCGUGGGGAGCAAA
Molecule: ribosomal RNA, 250 nt
Filed under: uncultured bacterium
Lineage: Bacteria
Description: partial 16S ribosomal RNA
Rfam family: Bacterial small subunit ribosomal RNA
Source: RNAcentral